AUGCAUUCUUCAAGCAACAGAAAAACAAGAAGGGGGAGGAAAAAACACCAACCAAUGCGUUCCUUCACCAUUCCUCCGGCCGUGCUGCAGCUGUUCCUGCUACUCUCCGGCCUCUCUCCCGCCACCUCAUGCACCGAGCAGGAGAAGCACUUCUCCAGUUCCUCGCUGGGACGUCGGGAGAUGGCACCCUCGCCGCGUCGUGGAACCAUGAGACAGACUGCUGCGAGUGGGAAGGCAUCAUUUGCAAUGGAGAUGGGGCCGUCACUGAGAUCUCCCUGGCAUCUAAAGGACUUGAAGGGCGCAUCUCGCCAUCUCUCGCCGACCUCACAGGCUUGCAAUGGAGAUGGGGCCGUCACUGAGAUCUCCCUGGCAUCUAAAGGACUUGAAGGGCGCAUCUCACCAUCUCUCGCUGACCUCACAGGCUUGCUGCAUGUCAACCUUUCGCACAACUCCUUCUCCAGUGGCCUUCCGCUGGAGCUCAUGUCCUCCAGCAGCAUCAUCGCCCUUGACGUCAGCUUCAACCGGCUAAAUGGAAUGCUGCAAGAGCUGCCGUCUUCGAUCACCACAGACCGGCCUCUGCAGGUACUCAACGUCUCAAGCAACCAGUUCAGCUUAGAACUUCCAUCAGCCACAUGGAAAAUGAUGAAGAAUCUUAUCGCGUUCAACGCCAGCAAUAACGGCUUCACUAGGCACAUACCGUCUUCUCUUUGCCUUGGCUCGCCAUCUUUGGCUUUGCUUAACCUCUGUCACAACCAAUUGAGUGGUGGCAUUCCGAACACACUAGGUAAUUGCUCCAAGCUCAAAGUGCUCAAAGCUGGCAACAACCACCUAAGUGGGAUUCUCCCUGUUGAAAUCUUCCACGCUACCUCGCUGGAGUACCUCUCCAUCCCCAACAAUGGUUUGCAAGGAGAACUUGAUGGAGCACAAAUGGUCAAACUCAGUAAUCUAGCUACUCUUGACCUUGGAGAGAACCACAUCAGUGGCAACAUCCCAGAAUCGAUAGGUCAGCUCAGGAGGCUGGAGAAGCUCCAUUUGGGUAACAACAUGUCUGAGGAGCUGCCAUCAACUAUGGGCAACUGCACAGAUCUCAAAACCAUCGAUCUGAAGGUCAACAACUUCAGUGGAGAUCUAGGCGAGGUGAACUUCUCAACCCCGCAGAAUAUAAGAAGUUUAGAUCUCAUGAGGAAUCGUCUCGGUGGCAUAGUGCCAGAAAGCAUUUACUCAUGCAGCAUGUUGACUGCACUGCGGCUGUCAGGCAACCAUUUCCAUGGUGAGAUAUCACCAAGAAUAGGCAAUCUGAAGCAUCUGUCCUUCCUAUCACUUGGUAGUAACUCCUUUACAAAUAUCAUGAAAGCUUUGCAUGCCCUUAAAAGCUGCAGGAACAUCAGCAAAAAUAAGUAA
This 1401-nucleotide ribosomal RNA is filed under the name Triticum aestivum (bread wheat). Its description in RNAcentral is "partial small subunit ribosomal RNA". Lineage: Eukaryota; Viridiplantae; Streptophyta; Magnoliopsida; Poales; Poaceae. The record is from RNAcentral.